Molecule: ribosomal RNA, 665 nt
Filed under: uncultured fungus
Lineage: Eukaryota; Fungi
Description: eukaryotic LSU rRNA
Rfam family: 5.8S ribosomal RNA (bases 207-360)
Source: RNAcentral
AAGUCGUAACAAGGUUUCCGUAGGUGAACCUGCGGAAGGAUCAUUCAUAAUAAGUGUUUUAUGGCACUUUUUAAAUCCAUAUCCACCUUGUGUGCAAUGUCAGUCGGUUUUCUUUUUCGUCAAGAAAAAAAGGAUCGACCAAACAUCAACUUAUUCUAAUUGAACUUUUGUCUGAAAACUAUUAUGAAUAAACUAAUUCAAAAUACAACUUUCAACAACGGAUCUCUUGGCUCUCGCAUCGAUGAAGAACGCAGCGAAAUGCGAUACGUAACGUGAAUUGCAGAAUUCAGUGAAUCAUCGAAUCUUUGAACGCAUAUUGCGCUCUUUGGUAUUCCGAAGAGCAUGCUUGUUUGAGUAUCAGUAAACACCUCAAAACUCUUGAUCUUUUUCAAGCGUUUUGGACUUGAGCAAACCCAACGCCUUUUCUUUUAAGAUCUGUUGCGGCGGGUUGCUUGAAAUGCAGGUGCAGCUGGACAAUCUCCUGAGCUAAAAGCAUAUUUAUUUAGUCCCGUCAAACGGAUUAUUACUUUUUGCUGCAGCUAACAUAAAGGGAGUUUUGACCAUUAUGGCUGACUGAUGCAGGAUUUCACAGAGAAAAGGCCGGCAACGGUUUUGUCUCUGUCAAACUCGAUCUCAAAUCAAGUAAGACUACCCGCUGAACUUAA